RNAcentral lists this long non-coding RNA (264 nucleotides) under Elaeis guineensis (African oil palm). Its description in RNAcentral is "long non-coding RNA (EGUI_LNC031989)". The record is from RNAcentral. Lineage: Eukaryota; Viridiplantae; Streptophyta; Magnoliopsida; Arecales; Arecaceae.
UUGUAUAUGAUGAAGUCUCUUACCAACGCUCUUUUUUAUAGAGGUAGUUCUACCACCUACGGAUGGAUGAGGGAUAGAGCAUGCAUGAGUAUCUCAGCCACUUUCAAAAGAAUCUCAUCGAUCUUUUCAGUGUAGGUGAGAAGGUUGAGGAGAAGACUAGGGUGUUGGUCUUGCUAGCGUCGCUUCUCUCUUCAUAUGAUUCCUUGGUGACUGCUCUUCUAGUAGAAAAGAGCACCAUCAAGAUAGAUGAGGUCACCAUAAUGA